AAGCUCAGGCCUUUCCUGGCAUCCUGGUCUCCUGCACUGAGCUGUGUGAGUGCUUCUGCCCAGGCAGGCCACUUGGCAUUGACCGGCAUAGAUGGUGACCCUGGAGGAAAACUUGUGUUGGGCCCACUGUCACUGGGCCAAUGUCAGUCAGCCAGGUGCCCAGCCCCUGGUGCACUGAAGCUUGGGCCCUUCUGGCACCCUUGGCUCCUGCACUGAGCUGUGUGAGCUCUUCUGCCCAAGUGGUCCCCGCGGCCUUGAGCGGCAUAGAUGGUGAGCCUGGAGGAAGAUGUGUGGGACCCGCAGGCCGAGGGCCGGUGUCUCUCAGCCAGGUGCUCAGCUCCCAGUGGGCUGAAAC
Long non-coding RNA from Gorilla gorilla gorilla (western lowland gorilla), 355 nucleotides. RefSeq lists it as uncharacterized. NCBI's taxonomy places the organism in Eukaryota, Metazoa, Chordata, Mammalia, Primates, Hominidae. The transcript is spliced from 5 exons. The record is from RefSeq and is a predicted model, not a curated record.